This 497-nucleotide ribosomal RNA is filed under the name uncultured bacterium. RNAcentral describes it as "partial 16S ribosomal RNA". It matches the Rfam family "Bacterial small subunit ribosomal RNA", at positions 28 to 507 of the family's 1533-position model. The record is from RNAcentral.
GAUGAACGCUGGCGGCGUGCCUAAUACAUGCAAGUCGAGCGAACAGAUGAGGAGCUUGCUCCUCUGACGUUAGCGGCGGACGGGUGAGUAACACGUGGAUAACCUACCUAUAAGACUGGGAUAACUUCGGGAAACCGGAGCUAAUACCGGAUAAUAUAUUGAACCGCAUGGUUCAAUAGUUAAAGACGGUUUUGCUGUCACUUAUAGAUGGAUCCGCGCCGCAUUAGCUAGUUGGUAAGGUAACGGCUUACCAGGGCAACGAUGCGUAGCCGACCUGAGAGGGUGAUCGGCCACACUGGAACUGAGACACGGUCCAGACUCCUACGGGAGGCAGCAGUAGGGAAUCUUCCGCAAUGGGCGAAAGCCUGACGGAGCAACGCCGCGUGAGUGAUGAAGGUCUUCGGAUCGUAAAACUCUGUUAUUAGGGAAGAACAAAUGUGUAAGUAACUAUGCACGUCUUGACGGUACCUAAUCAGAAAGCCACGGCUAACUACGUG